This is a non-coding RNA of Oncorhynchus mykiss (rainbow trout), 882 nucleotides long. The record is from RefSeq and is a predicted model, not a curated record. Lineage: Eukaryota; Metazoa; Chordata; Actinopteri; Salmoniformes; Salmonidae.
UGACUUGAAUUAACUACGUUUUUAAUGAAAUUUAUUAAAACAACGCAGUUUUAGGGCAACCCUACUUCCUGAAAUGCUUUGCUCCGCCUCUCUUCUUUACAUUGAUGGAAGCCAAUCACAGUGCAGAUUUUUAAAGCGGAAAUGACGCAAACUUUGUUUUGACCAAUGUAAUUUGCUGAAAGAGGUAAACGUCUGCCUCCUUCAUGCGGAUUAAUAUGCCUCCAAUGGGGAACAUAUAGCCUGCGAAUAAUUUUUGUGUGUUCUAGUUUAUUAGCGUUCUGUCUUCAUAUUGGACGGGUGUAGCUUACGGCAGGUAGCCGGCAGAUAGCCUAUUGGUUAGAACGUUGGACUAGUAACCGAAAGGUUGCAAGAUCGAAUCCCCGAGCUGACAAGUUGUUUAUUAGACAUUUGAUCCGUUCAGCAAUAUGGACGGCGAUUUAUUCAUGGAAUGUGAGGAGGAGGAGCUGGAGCCAUGGCAACAGAUGUAUGAUGACGUGGAGGAGGAGUUGGAAUUCAUAGAGGGCGACAACGACAGCGGUGAGCAUGCCCAUUGGCCAACUAUUGCCACAGAGACAGACUGACACACCCUUUUGACUGUCAUCUUGGUGACGGACUGAUCACUGCGUUCCUUGUCAUGGUCUGAACAUGUAUCAAUGGUCAAUGACCCAGUCAUAUAGUCGGUUAGCAUAAGACACGCGUCAAACUCAUUCUACGGAGAGCCGAGAAUCUGCGGGUUUUCGCUCCUCCCUUGUACUUGAUUGAUCAAAUCAAAUUUUAUUUGUCACAUACGCCGAAUAAAACAGGUGUAGUAGACCUUACAGUUAAAUACUUACUUACAAGACCUUAACCAACAAUGCAGUUUUUUAAAAAUACCUGAAAAAU